UACAGAGGGUGCAAGCGUUAAUCGGAAUUACUGGGCGUAAAGCGCAUGUAGGUGGGUAUUUAAGUCGGAUGUGAAAGCCCCGGGCUCAACCUGGGAAUUGCAUUCGAUACUGAAUAUCUAGAGUAUGAUAGAGGGAAGUGGAAUUUCCGGUGUAGCGGUGAAAUGCGUAGAUAUCGGAAGGAACAUCAGUGGCGAAGGCGGCUUCCUGGAUCAAUACUGACACUAAAGUGCGAAAGCGUGGGGAGCAAACAGG
This 253-nucleotide ribosomal RNA is filed under the name uncultured bacterium. RNAcentral describes it as "partial 16S ribosomal RNA". It matches the Rfam family "Bacterial small subunit ribosomal RNA", at positions 524 to 776 of the family's 1533-position model. The record is from RNAcentral.